This 427-nucleotide ribosomal RNA is filed under the name uncultured Streptococcus sp. Its description in RNAcentral is "bacterial SSU rRNA". It matches the Rfam family "Bacterial small subunit ribosomal RNA", at positions 952 to 1382 of the family's 1533-position model. The record is from RNAcentral. Lineage: Bacteria; Bacillati; Bacillota; Bacilli; Lactobacillales; Streptococcaceae.
CGAAGCAACGCGAAGAACCUUUACCAGGUCUUGACAUCCCGAUGCUAUUUCUAGAGAUAGAAAGUUACUUCGGUACAUCGGUGACAGGUGGUGCAUGGUUGUCGUCAGCUCGUGUCGUGAGAUGUUGGGUUAAGUCCCGCAACGAGCGCAACCCCUAUUGUUAGUUGCCAUCAUUCAGUUGGGCACUCUAGCGAGACUGCCGGUAAUAAACCGGAGGAAGUGGGAUGACGUCAAUCAUCAUGCCCCUUAUGACCUGGGCUACACACGUGCUACAAUGGUUGGUACAACGAGUUGCGAGUCGGUGACGGCGAGCUAAUCUCUUAAAGCCAAUCUCAGUUCGGAUUGUAGGCUGCAACUCGCCUACAUGAAGUCGGAAUCGCUAGUAAUCGCGGAUCAGCACGCCGCGGUGAAUACGUUCCCGGGCCUU